This 247-nucleotide long non-coding RNA is filed under the name Lathyrus oleraceus (garden pea). Its description in RNAcentral is "Pisum sativum (pea) long non-coding RNA (PSAT_LNC028563)". The record is from RNAcentral. Lineage: Eukaryota; Viridiplantae; Streptophyta; Magnoliopsida; Fabales; Fabaceae.
AAUUAUUCCAGAGAUGCAUCUUCGGAAAUACCUGACAUGCAAAGUUGACAGAAAUUUCAAAAUCUUGCCCCAAACGUUUGUAGAUGCAUCUCAGGUUAAUCCACUAGGUGCUCAACUAUUAAAUUAUUAUGGAGAUACAUCUCUGGAAUUGUUUUUGUGUUAACAUGGGGUGGCACUCAUUUGUGUAUUAUAAAAAUGGUACAUGGUGCAUCCAAAGAUACAUCUCUGAAAUUUGAGGGGUAUUUUC